RNAcentral lists this unclassified non-coding RNA (246 nucleotides) under Hevea brasiliensis (rubber tree). Lineage: Eukaryota; Viridiplantae; Streptophyta; Magnoliopsida; Malpighiales; Euphorbiaceae. The record is from RNAcentral.
GGGACUUCGGGGCCACCUAAUGGUUGAACUCGGUGAUCUUGAUAAUGAGGUCCUUGUGAAACUUGUUGGUGGAAAUCUUGUUGAAACUGUGGUAGCUCAUGAUGUAAUUGGAAGCUUAAUGAUUCAAUGUGCUAGACAGCCAGGUCUUGCGCAGAUAUGGGAAGACAUCCUUGGAUUUGAGAAUUGUGAGUUCUACAUCAACAAAUGACCACAGUUGCAUCGCGUGCAAUUUGAAGAAGUCCUAAU